Long non-coding RNA from Oryza sativa Japonica Group (Japanese rice), 855 nucleotides. RefSeq lists it as uncharacterized. The record is from RefSeq and is a predicted model, not a curated record. Lineage: Eukaryota; Viridiplantae; Streptophyta; Magnoliopsida; Poales; Poaceae.
CGAAACUAAAACUCAAGGGAACUGAGAUGAUCCCUAGAGUUUUUGCUUGCUCCUAGGGAAACUAGUACAGUUGGCACUGAUAGGAGAACCACGGUGGCAGGGUCCACUGUCUUUUUUAGAAACCAACCACGUGGAAAGGUUGUAAUAUUUUCUCCCGCCUUGUGAAUCCAAAAUUUGGACUGUGCACCAUAUUCUCUUUCCAUUGGAAAGUAAUAAAGUACCCCAAGCUGCUAAACUUUCCCCCUUUGUUCUUCCUUCAACAUGUUCUUUCAUCUCUUCCUCCCCAAAUCAACUCCCUCUCCAGUCUCCACCACCAAAUCUACCCUCAAGUAGUAGAGAUCGACAGGAGCUUCGACCUUCGAGGGUGGUUGCAGCAGCACUCCUGAAGGCCGUGGUGGGCGUGGGCUGAUUGCAUCUGUUUGCGGCUGAGAGGCAACGCCGGGACAGGGGUGAAUCAAGGCCACGGCGACCUGUGCAGCGUGGUGUUGCCGAGCUGCUCUCUAGUUAGCAUUUAGCAAAGAUCGGUAAGGCUGAGAAGUCAAGAACUUGAGCUACGCUUGCAAAACUUGAUAUAUGAAUCAUAUUACUGCGCUUGAUGACUUCUGGAAGUGCUAUUACGUACCAUUUCAAUUGGAUACAACUACUGCAGAAGGCUAUAUUUGUGUUUUAUUUUGACUUUUGAGAGAGCAAAGCCACAAUCUAUUAAGUGUUCGUCAAUUUUCAACUCUGGAUAUACUCUCCCUAUGCGUGUGUGUUUUUUUUCUUUUGUUUUUCGAAGGGCAACUCUGCAUGUACUCCCAAUUUUUACUAUUGAGAUUAACUUUGUAAUGCAGUAUAUAUAUUUUUUGUUCAAGC